CACGGAGGGGGCUAGCGUUGUUCGGAAUUACUGGGCGUAAAGCGCGCGUAGGCGGCUUUGUAAGUUAGAGGUGAAAGCCCGAAGCUCAACUUCGGAAUUGCCUUUAAGACUGCAUCGCUAGAAUCAUGGAGAGGUUAGUGGAAUUCCGAGUGUAGAGGUGAAAUUCGUAGAUAUUCGGAAGAACACCAGUGGCGAAGGCGACUAACUGGACAUGUAUUGACGCUGAGGUGCGAAAGCGUGGGGAGCAAACAGG
RNAcentral lists this ribosomal RNA (253 nucleotides) under uncultured bacterium. RNAcentral describes it as "partial 16S ribosomal RNA". It matches the Rfam family "Bacterial small subunit ribosomal RNA", at positions 524 to 776 of the family's 1533-position model. The record is from RNAcentral.